CGAACGAGAAAGUUCCUUCGGGAGCGAGUAAAGUGGCGGACGGGUGAGUAACGCGUAGGAAUCUACCUUUCAGUGGGGGAUAGCUCGGGGAAACUCGAAUUAAUACCGCAUAUACCCUUCGGGGGAAAGGGGGCCUCUCCUUGGAAGCUCUCGCUGUUAGAUGAGCCUGCGUGAGAUUAGCUUGUUGGUAAGGUAAUGGCUUACCAAGGCUACGAUCUCUAGCUGGUCUGAGAGGACGAUCAGCCACACUGGGACUGAGACACGGCCCAGACUCCUACGGGAGGCAGCAGUAGGGAAUAUUGGACAAUGGGGGCAACCCUGAUCCAGGCAUGCCGCGUGUGUGAAGAAGGCCUUAGGGUUGUAAAGCACUUUAAGUGAGGAAGAAAAGAUUUAGAUUAAUACUUUAAGUCCCUGACAUUACUCACAGAAUAAGGACCGGCUAACUCCGUGCCAGCAGCCGCGGUAAUACGGAGGGUCCAAGCGUUAAUCGGAAUUACUGGGCGUAAAGCGCGCGUAGAUGGUUUAUUCAGUUGGGUGUGAAAUCCCUGGGCUCAACCUAGGAACUGCAUUCAAAACUUAUAAACUAGAGUACGAAAGAGGAGAGUAGAAUUCAUGGUGUAGCGGUGAAAUGCGUAGAGAUCAUGAGGAAUACCAGUGGCGAAGGCGACUCUCUGGUUCGAGACUGACAUUGAGGUGCGAAAGCGUGGGUAGCAAACAGGAUUAGAUACCCUGGUAGUCCACGCCGUAAACGAUGAGAACUAGCCGUUGGAUCUUUAGAUUCAGUGGCGCAGCUAACGCAUUAAGUUCUCCGCCUGGGGAGUACGGCCGCAAGGCUAAAACUCAAAUGAAUUGACGGGGGCCCGCACAAGCGGUGGAGCAUGUGGUUUAAUUCGAUGCAACGCGAAGAACCUUACCAACCCUUGACAUCCAGUGGAAGUUUUAGAGAUAAACUGU
This 954-nucleotide ribosomal RNA is filed under the name uncultured marine bacterium. Its description in RNAcentral is "bacterial SSU rRNA". It matches the Rfam family "Bacterial small subunit ribosomal RNA", at positions 63 to 1014 of the family's 1533-position model. The record is from RNAcentral.